AAGUCGUAACAAGGUUUCCGUAGGUGAACCUGCGGAAGGAUCAUUAAAAGAGUUAGGGUCCAUCAACGUGGCCCAAUCCUCCAACCCUCUGUUGGUUAAAAGCUACCCUUGUUGCUUUGGCGGGACCGUUCGGUCUCCGAGGCGUUAACCUUCGGGUUGGCGAGCGCCCGCCAGAGUCCAACCAAACUCUUGUAUUAAACCUAGUCGUCUGAGUAUAAAAUUUUAAUUAAAUUAAAA
Molecule: unclassified non-coding RNA, 237 nt
Filed under: plant metagenome
Description: partial contains small subunit ribosomal RNA and internal transcribed spacer 1
Rfam family: Eukaryotic small subunit ribosomal RNA (bases 1-46)
Source: RNAcentral